CCACUUCCCUUUCAUCUUUUUCCCUCCCCACCGCUUCCUCCACUUCCUCACCAUGUUCAAAAUUAAAAGUAUUAAAUUUUAUUUUUAAAAUUUGAAACUUAAAAAUUCUAAAACAUUUUUUUACGAAAGAUAUUUAACUGGAAAAUAAUUUGAUUUUUCAAUACUGAUAUAUCUUACCAGAUAGAAACAUUUUCAAAAAAAUCAGAAAAAUCGUCAUCCCACCGCGUUAACUUUUGGCAUGUUUUUGCAGCGUCCAACCACACGCGCCGCCGGCCACUUUCGGACCCUCACCACUACCAGUAUUCCCAUCUCCUCUGCUUACCCCACCUCCGAAUCCACCCAUCUUCUCCACAAGUUGCGUGAUCUUUGCACGCGCCAUCAUCUCCAAGAAGCCAUCACUCUAUUCCACGACUUCAAAACACUUCAUUUACCACAAGCGUAUGCCACCUUGUUUCAUGCCUGUGCUAACUCCAAAAGCCUCCAGCGCGGCGAUGCCUUGUAUCACCACAUGCUUACGCACAACCCCUUUUGCGCAAAUGACAUGUAUACAGCUAAUCAUGUGAUUAAUAUGUAUGCGAAAUGUGGGAGAUUGGAAUGUGCACGGAAGGUGUUUGAUGAGAUGUCUGACAGAAAUGUUGUUUCUUGGACUGCUAUGGUUUCUGGGUAUGCUCAACAAGGGAGAGGUGAUGACUGUUUUGGGGUUUUUUCGAGUAUGGUGUCUGACUGUCGUCCCACUGAUUUUGCGUAUGCAAGUGUACUUACUGUGUGUGAUGGUGAUCGUGGUAGGCAGGUACAUGUACAUGCCUUGAAAACCUCUUAUGAUAAUUAUGUUUAUGUUGCCAAUGCUCUCAUUACAAUGUACUGGAAGAAUUGUUGUAAUACUGGUGGUGGUGAUGAUGAUGAAAAGGUUGAGGCUUGGAUUGUUUUUGACGGCAUGCAGUAUAAGAAUCUCAUUACUUGGAAUUCUAUGAUUGCAGGUUUUCAGCAGAGUGGACAUUGGGUUGAAGCUUUGAAUUUUUUUUCCUGGAUGAGACAUGAUGGUGUUGGGUUUGAUCGUGCAACGCUUCUUGGUGUCAUAUCUUCCUUAUGGGGUAAAAAUUGUGAUGAUGCUAGUUUGGUGUUGCAAUGCUGUCUUCAAGUCCACUGUCUGACGAUAAAGACGGGAUUCGUUUCUGAAAUAGGAGUAACAACUGCGUUAACAAAAGCUUACUCCAAUCUUGGAGGAGAUGUUGCUGAGUGUUACAAUCUUUUUCUUGAUAGUAGUGGAAAUCGAGAUGUAGUUUCUUGGACUGGAAUAAUAACCACAUUUUCUGAAAGGAAUCCAGAAGAAGCUCUCUUCCUUUUUCAACAAUUUUGUCGAGAGGGCUUUUCUCCAGACCGUUAUACAUACUCCAUUGUGUUAAAGGCUUGUGCUGGCUUAGUAACUGAUAGACAUGCAUCCGCUAUACAUUCAAAGGUUAUCAAAGCAGGGUUUGAAGAUGACACUGUACUAGCGAAUUCAUUGAUCCAUGCAUAUGCAAGAACUGGAUCGAUCGUGAGGUCCAAAAGAGUAUUUGAUGAGAUGGAUUAUCGAGAUACAGUUUCUUGGAAUUCGAUGUUAAAGGCUUAUGGCUUGCAUGGACAAGCUAAGCAAGCAUUGUCCACCUUUGAUCAAAUGAAUGUCCAACCUGAUGCAACCACCUUUGUAGCCCUCCUCUCGGCCUGUAGUCAUGCUGGAUUGGUAGAUGAAGGUUCUAAAAUUUUUAAUACUAUGGGCAGUAAUUAUGGAAUAGUUCCUAAACUUGAUCACUUUGCAUGUAUGGUUGAUAUACUUGGACGGGCUGGUCGUAUUCCUGAAGCCGAGAAGGUUAUUAAAGAAAUGCCUAUGGAAGCUGAUUCUGUUGUGUGGAGCACUUUGCUUGCGGCAUGUCGUAAACAUGGUAAAACCGAGCUGGCUAACAUGGCUGCCUCAAAACUAAUGGAAUUGGAUCCAAAAAGAUCACUAGGAUACGUUAUGAUGUCAAACUUAUAUUGCUUAACCGGUAGCUUUGGUGAAGCAGGCCUUGUACGAAAGGAAAUGAAAGGGCAGGGAGUAAAGAAGGAACCUGGUUUGAGCUGGACUGAGUGUGGUAGUCGAGUCCAUGAAUUUGCAUCUGGAGGUUUAAGACAUCCCCAAGGAGAUGCUAUCCGCAAGAAUCUUGAAGAGCUAGUGAAGCAGUUAAAAGGUGUGGGUUAUGUCCCUGAGACAGUCUUAGCACUGCAUGAUGUUGAAGAAGAGCACAAGGAAGAGCAGUUGUAUCAUCACAGUGAGAAGCUGGCUUUGGUGUUUGCCUUGAUGAAUAGUGGUCAUUCUCAACGCAAUGACGGUAUUAUUAGAAUUAUCAAGAACAUUAGAAUUUGUGUCGAUUGUCAUAACUUUAUGAAGUUUGCAUCUGGGUUAAUCCAAAUGGAGAUUGUUGUGAGGGAUUCCAAUCGAUUCCACCACUUUCGAGAGAGGGCAUGCUCCUGUAAUGAUUACUGGCGGCAUUACCAUCUAGAUAUCUACUAGGCAAGGGUCAAGGGCUGUUAGCUGCCAGAAACUGUCUUGGAAGAAAAUUCAGCUCUUCUUGUGUGUCCCAUACUUUAAUAGCUGAGCUGGUUGAAAACGAGAGUUUUAGGUCAUUUUCGCAGAUAAAAAUGUUUGCACAGGCGUAAGAUUGUGCAAGAGAGGCAGUUUAUGUUACUGAAACUCCAAAUGGUGCCAUGUUUAUUUGUUACAUAACGAAAGAGAUCCAAAGUUUAUGUUUGUUACAAUAAGUAACAGCUGCAAAGCUUAAAGUUUGUUACACAUAUAGCAGCUUUGGAAACUGUUAUAUACAGUAUACAGAUUUUACAUCUGAGAAGCAGGUAUUCUCUUUUCAUGUAUACUUAAAAACUAACAAAAUGAUAAUAAUCCUUAAUAAAAUACAUUAUUCUUUAUUUAUUUGUUUUUUUUGAAAACACACUUACGCACCAAUCUUGUCUUCAAACCCUCCGGUAAGGAGAGCAAGGGUGAUACCAUUGACCAAGAGGUAUGUUUCUGUGCAAAGUUAACAUGCUUAGGAACACAGUAUAUGGUAAGCAUAAAUGGAUUAGAUGAAAUCAGAAACCUUCAUAUUCUAUCCAGAACACUUUAUUUAUGGAAUUCUUGAAUGGCAGAAACAGCUCCAGUAAUGGCCUCAAAUCUUCGCCUUUCCUUCAUGAUCAUCUUGGCAACAUCAAGAGCCUGCCGUUCACAUUUUGCUCGUGUAGCAGUAUCAGUUAUAGACUCAAAAUCCUCUACAUGAGCUACCCCUACAAUUCUCCUGUAUUUUGAAGAUAAUCUGGUUAGACUAUUGUAACAAACACUAUAUUUUAGAAGCACUGGAAUGCAUUUAAGAAAAUCACAUCAGGUAUGUAUAUUUCGCAUUGCAGCUGAAGUUUCUUGUUUGCACCCAUAAAUCAGUUGGUCCAGAAAAAUAGAAUCAGAAUUCCGUACUAUGAAAGAUGGAACCAUGUUCGAUAUGAAAUAUAAUUACCGUCUGACCUUAUCAUUUUGGCAGCAGCAAAUCCAAGAGUGUCAUGGAGCAAAUCUUUUAUGUAUUUCCGCUUCACAAGCAGCUGAAGCUCUGCAUUGUUAUAGAUUUCUGGAAGGUAAGCUUCUCCAGAGCUAUUAUUAGAGUCAUCCCAGAGAGCAGUAAACUUUUUAUCAAACAGAGUCCAUAUCUCAACUAUGGUCCUCAAAAUCCACUCUUUGUAUAGCUGCACAACACAUAUAAUUUUAUUCUGACAACUGAAAUCGAUCCAGAUUGACUCUAAACUCUUGAACCUUAUAUCUUAGAAACAGAGAUGGGAUCAACAUACUUUUCGAUCAUUCCCAUGGUUUGCAUGUCCAUCCUGUGCAAAGUAUGCCAGAAACAAGUUUCCAAUGAAGGCUCCGAUAUCAAAUCCCAUUGGCCCAUAAAAGGAAAAUUCAGGAUCUAUGACUUGAGUCGAAUCACGGGUGACCAUGACAGAACCGGUAUGGAGAUCACCAUGAAUUAGAGCUUGUGCUCUUUCACAGAACCUGGAGACAGAAUAAGUAAGCUAAGCUGGAUAUCAUAAUUCACAUACAACAAAAGAGAGCUCUGUAGGCCGCAUAGUACCUUGAUUUUAGUUCAGCAACUUCAAGCUUCAAGAUAUUAUCUUCCCGGACUGCUUGAGCAUCACUAUCAAGGUAAGGGGAAGUCCAGUAACUAUGUUGAGACUCUCUGUAAGGAUCAGAGAAGAUCACUUGCUCAGUGAGCCUGCACAUUUCCACAUUUCCACAAAAUUUCGCCACUGCAGAAAGGCCAAUUGUCAAAUCACUGAUAACAAGCUUGCCACAAACAAGUUUCUUUCAAAUUUUCAUGUAGUUCACCUGAACUUCUGUGCUGCGUGGUGGUAAGAUGAAGAAGCGACGAGAAGAAAAGAGUCCUCGCCAUGAAUUCUGACAUGUGUUCUGCGAGCAGUGGAUACUCAAUUCCAGAAAUAAGUCCUUUCCUCAAAACUAUAUGCGGAGGCUCCAAGUAGCGCAUACCAAUUACACUCAUAGUUCUGUCAUAGUAAUAAACUGUGGGAACUGGGAACAUGAGCAGGGCAGAGACGGCCCUGCUCUCUUAGGGCCUCGGCCUCGAAGUAAGAACGUUCCUUCGACAUCGACCAUGAUUCCCCCAUACUCCGUACGUAAGGGAGAGCCUACAAGAGACAUUUCAAACACGUUAAAGAGAACAUUCAAAUACUAAUACCAGUAUAAAACUGAGAAUUUGAAAUAACACCUCAAAUCAUGUCAUUUGAAAUGAAAUACAUGUUUUCAAACGCAAUCUAAUUUACCUGCUUGAUGACGAGAGAAGCAGAGGGAGUAGCAACAAUAAACACGAAAUUAAGAUUGCCAUCACCAACUUCUCUGAUUUUCAAGUCAUCGAGAUUGUAUCCCAACUGGGAACGCAGAGCUGGCGUGGCUUUUAUAUAUUCUACUAUGUACUUGUGGUCCAGUGGUCGGAACUCGUUGGAUGAUGACUCCAUUGGUGGCUGGUGGCCGGUGGCUGUGGCUUGCGGGUGGGAAGUGUGUGGUGCGAUUUAUAUAAAAACAUGCAUGGUUGAAUGAGUCAGGGUACGAAAUGGAGCGGCAUGAACCACGUGGGUCCAAUGGCUCCGGAAAGCGAAAGGCGGCUGCAUGAUUCUCUCAUAAUUUCCAGUAGUGGCCGUGGAAUCAGGAUUUUCAACUACAAAAACAUUGAAGACCAGCCUAGACAUUUUUACUUUUACUUUUCUAAUAGUUGGCCAGAUCAUUAUAAAUAUCAGCCUUUAACCCGUGCAAAGCACGGGCGGGUAUAUAAUUAGUAAUUUAUUAUUUAUAAUUUAAAUUUUAA
RNA transcript from Daucus carota subsp. sativus, 5366 nucleotides. It is a transcript of the gene named pentatricopeptide repeat-containing protein At1g71420, with no coding region annotated. The transcript is spliced from 3 exons. The record is from RefSeq and is a predicted model, not a curated record. NCBI's taxonomy places the organism in Eukaryota, Viridiplantae, Streptophyta, Magnoliopsida, Apiales, Apiaceae.